GCGGGGGCAGGAGCGGGACGGUAGAGGCGCUCGCCCUGCCGGGCUGUUGUUGCUCCUGCUAACGGUUGCGUAAGCGGCUGUUCAGAAGGUUUAGACCGGUUUGGACCCGGAUGCAGCCUUGCUACUGCGCGGAGCCCCAGUCUCCCCUGCGCGCCGUGCUGUCGUCAGAGCAAGGGAGCGAAUCGCCAUUUGGGAGCACCGACGUCUCUUUUCUCUUUGAUGCAUACCCUCUUCCAGUAUUUGGACCUGAUGCAACUUUCUCCUGAGGAAGAAAAGCAGGAAUCUGUUGUGGCUUCCAGUACAGAUGGGAUCCUACACGCUCUCUUUGCCCUGAAGGACAGUCAGAGGCCACUCCUCCAGAUGAUAAUCUCACCCAAGGGGACUCUAAUAGUGGUGAACUUGGUGCCCUUCAUUGGAUCCCCACCCUAACCUUCAUCACCUCUAGGAUCUCAGGUGUUGCAGCGCCCACAGUUAUUUGUUCUAAAGCACUAUGUCCAGUGAUGCACUGCCCAUUUGGUCUCCUCUAUUUGGGAGGAGGAGGAAAACACAUGCUCCAUACUGAGGCUCUGAGAAGAUCUAGGAGGAGGCUACUAUAAAUGCAUAUGUCCCAAGUUUCUCACAACUGGUACAACAGUUGGGUCGGGAGCUGCCUCAUCCAAACCUGCAGAUUCAGAUCUGUUUCUAGUACCCACAGAGUGGUUCCCCAGCUGUUUGAGGCCUCUUGGUCUGUAUUUGUGCUUGCCUGCAACUUCCCACAUUGCUGAAGGUUGGCAGAAACUUAGUUCCCUGUCCUCAUCCCCUCUUUUUUAAGUCAAGAGAUCAGAGCAUAUUCUUUAUUAUAGAGGUAUAUCAGUGCCCCUAUAGUUAUAGUUGAGUAUAAAAAUCAGUGUUUUUAUCCUAAAAAUCAGUCCUAAAAUCUAAAUUUGCCCCAUCUUCCUGAAAUUUUGCAAACAUCAGCUAGAUGACAAAUGCUACAACUUCUUCAGGAUUUUUUUUUUUUAAGAAGUGAAGAGGGUACUCUCCCUCAUUCCUAACCAGUACACACACAAUGCUUAUAUAGAUCUGAAAUGAUCCACAGCAAAGUCUCUUAUAAUACAGUAUAUAUAUUUUAAAAGAAUAUCAAGAACUCCUCUCUAUUCUGUUGAUGGUAUAAUGAGAAAGGAAUACGAAUAUGACAGUGGAUAUUUAUAUACCACUUAUCUAUAAAAGUUCCCAAAGCGGUUAACAUAUAAAUAAAUAAAUUAAAUUAAAUGGCUUCCUGUCCCCAACAAGCUCAUAAUCUAAAAAAGAAACAUAAGAUGGAUGCCAGCAACAGCCACUUGAAGGAUGCUGUGCUGGGGAUUACCGUUAAGCAGGAUCCUGUGGUUUAAGGCGGAGAAUGAUACUGUAUUUACUUGAAUCCAAGAUUAGGUUUUUCCAAAUCUUUAGAUAUUAGAAAUCAGGAGAUCAUUUUAAAUUCAGAGUCAUGUUCCUUUUGAGUAAAUGCAGGUAUAACCUGUAUUUAACCUCUACUUUUUAAGGGGGUCAUCUUAAAUUCAGAGAUGUCUUCAAUUCAAGUAAAUACGGUAUGCGGUGUAUGCAUAGAGGCUGUGUCCUUUUUUACAAUGUAAUACUUUGUAGCUGGCUGUCUAUAGCAGCAGUAAGUAGUAGCCUCUCUAUAUUGUAUAGGCUCUAAUUAUGAAGAGAAAUGUACAUAGUCUAUGCUCAGAGGCUGUGCCCUCUAAUGACACAUUUUAAAAUGUACUUGUCAUUAAACUGGCCAUUUUUCAGUCUAAAGGUCCAAACCUUCCUUUAUUCUAAACUCCAUUUUGAGCUUGUCUGAUCCCAUGUUUAGAACUGUGCAUGCAUGUUUCCAAGUCGCAUGACCAAUCUGAUUUCUAUAUGAUCUCCCUGUGUCAGGAAAGACUCAAAUGGUGCUAAGUGCCACAUCAUCAAUGCAAACAGGGGAGAGUCUUAUCCCCUAAAACAGAGAUUAAAAUAAUGGCUGAAGUCCUUAUCCUCAAUUGCCAGAGUAAUCAGCCCCAUUGAUCCCAGAGAUCUGCAUGUGAGAUGGAGGGGGCGGGUGGGAGAUUUUAAAAAUUAUUAUACUUCUCUACAAUCUUUCCCAUGGCAGAUGGUGAAAGAACAAAUCUUUCUUUAUAAAAGCUAGGUGGGUUUUUGUCAGUUGUUGGGUUCUUCUCCUUGUUCUUGGAUUGUUCUGAGUUCCUGCUCUUGAGAUGAUUUCUGUAUUAGUUUAGCUUUUACCUUUAUUGAGUUCUUGGCUGAGUCCUGACUGCAUAGCUCCAGAGAGCAUGAAGAAAGCUACUCUGAUUGGCUGAGUGGAAGAAAGCUCCAUUCAUGAUGCAAACUUUUUAUUUCUGAACUUCAACCUGACAACUGAAAUCUUUUAGCCUCCUGCCUAACAUCAGGCAAGACGAGCAGGUACCUUGUAUGCAUAUUUUGAAUAUUUUCCUUUUUACAUCUCCAAAUUCUUGUUUCCUUUUAUACUUAAUUAAAUAAACUAGGUUUUUAAUUGUUUUAAACUUAUUCUAUCUGUGCGUAUUUUAAGACAUUUUUGGAUAUGUUUUGAGGACACCCCUGUUUGGGGCUAAACAGGGAAGCUUUCUCUCUACAAAAGUGGUGUUGGUGGCAAAACCUCCUGUUUAAACAUGCAAGAAGGGUGUGCCCAGUAAGGAUUUGACCAGACUGCGACAGCAUUGUUUUGUGUGCAGCAGGGGGAAAGCAAGACAAACACCAUCCUGUGACUGAUUAAACCUACUAUAAGUUUACAAGUUUAUGAAAACAACAUACAUGUAGCAACUCUUAUUUCUUUCUCGAUGUAAAUUACUUUGAUAACCUUUUUGCUGAAAAGCAGUAAAUAGAUAUUUGCAAUAACAAUAACUAAAUACCAAUGUGAAUGAGGUACCUAUAAUUCCUUCUUGAAUGUUGCCAGUGUAUACUGAUAUUGAUAGCUAUGUGCAAUACACCUAGCACUAGUCCACUGAACCCACUUUAUAUCUUUGCUGGAUUUUUAAAGAUGAGGAAAUUAAAACUCUAAAAAGCGUAGAAACUGCAAGUUAACGUGGUAACCUUAACUUCUAUGGCAUUCUCUGCUAACAGAGCAAAGAGACACCUUUUUAAAAUAGCGAUUUUCUUUAUUUAGCAGGGGGAGAGCAACUGGCCCUAUCCAUCCCCAGCACAGCAUCCCUCCAGAGGCUGUUGCUGAGUGCUGGCAUCAAGCUGUGUGUGUGUGUGUGUGUGUGUGUGUGUGUGUGUGUGUGUGUGUGUGUGUGUGUAAACCACUUUGGGAACUCUUGUUGAAAAGCAGUAUAUAAAUAUUUAUCAUCGUAUUCAUAAGUAGUAAAGACUCUGUGGUGUAUUAUGCUGGGUUUACAAAUUAGGUUCCAUGCACCCACAUGUUGUCUUGCUCUUUCAAUUCAACAUUGUGCUGAGGAGGGAUAUAUCCAAAGAGAAAUUCAACAAAUGCAGCUCCCCCAGUCACUUAUUAGAGAUGCACCUCAUUAAUUUCUGCCUGAUGCAUGAAGGACAACAUAGGAUGGUCACAAGAGGAGUUAUUUCAUGACUAAUGAGGAUCAAAACAAAUAGCUGUACUAGCAUCCAGUAGAACUUAAUUGGGAUCUUCAGAAUCCACUACAGAAUCCACACAUUAUGUUCCAGCACAUAUAAGCAGUAUAUAGUGUACACAUGUACAGAUCUGUAUGCAUGUAAUGCAUGUAACAUAAUGCAUCCACACAUUAUGUUCCAUGCAUGCACAGUAAUACAGUUCCUUUCUAUAUCCUGCAUCUGAGGGAGCUUUUACCAAGAUUCAUUUUUAAAAUGAGUACAUGUACAUAAAAUGAGCACAUGUACACACACAAACACGUACAUAUGCACAAACACCUGUAUACACAUAUACAGUAAUUUCAGAAUAGGGCUAGAUUGGAUAGUCACAACUGUUUGAAUGCCACAACUGUUUUGAAUUCUAUUCUUAUAUGGUGUCUGAAGACACAGAAUAUAUAUAUUUCUUUUAAGUCUGUUUGAUGGGGAUUUUUAUGGGUGUAUACAAUUAGUGCAGUCUUUCUUAGUUUUUUAAGAUACUAUAUUUAUUAUACUUUAAAAAACCAUGUCUCAUCAUAUAAUCAUUUCUUUGGAUUUUUGUUUUGUUUUGUUCUGCUUAUUGAGUGAAUUUCUAUCCAAUGCUAAAUGUAGACAUGCUAUUUGUGGAAUCAGAAUUUCAUCCAAACAUUCCAAACUUCCAUAAAAGUUUAAAAUAGCUAAUUUAAACAGAAAUGAAGAUAUGAAUGUUUCUACAGUAAUAAGACCAAUUUAUGUGCUGUAAAUAGCAUCAACCAAACUGUUAGUUCCAUUUCAUGAGUCUGUCAAAUGCUUUAAGAAUAGUUAUUAAAAUUUAACAAAUUUGUUUUCUCUUCUGCAAGAGAAUGUACAUACAGUAGAAAUAAACAAACUAUGGGUAUGAUUCAGCACUUAUAAAUGUCAUUUUUUUAAAAAUGGGAGAGAGCAAAGCACAUUGUUAAGCAUUCUAUUAAAAUCAAUAGGACAUAGAAUUGCUUAACAUGUUGCUGGAUCAUGUUCUAGAUGUUUUGAACUGGGCGCAAGAAAACCUAACUCAUUCCACCCAAGGGUGUGUGCCUGGUAAUUGACAAAUAUGCAGCACUGAAGCACCCUAUAUUUAUCAUCCUUUAUGGAGAAAGACAGGAAGUACUUAUGGAAGCAUUCUAGGAAGAUUAUUCAUCAUCUUUAUUUGUGAAUCAGAUUGUAGUCAGGAAGGGAGUUUCCAAAAAGUAUUCAACAAUGCUUUUGAACUUGACCUCAGCCAUAUAAACAGCACAGUCAUUUGUCUGGAAAUCACAGUCUGAUUUGGUAUUGCAGAUGUGCUCAAGAGAUAAAGCAUUUCAGCCUUCUUUUAAUAGUGUUUAAUAUAAAACAUAGCACUCACAUCACCAUAGUAGCUACAACUUUACAGCAGCUACACCUACAGUGUAGUUGUAUGAUGAACAGUGCAGUUGAAUGCUGUGCAGUUGAAUGAUGAACAAGUGCAUAUACUCUGUGCAGUGCAGAGUAUAUCUACAGUGCAGUUGAAUGAUGAACAAGACAUAUACUCUGCACUGUAGGAAUUACUCUCGAGGCACACAGAAAUGGUGUUUGCUUGUUUCGAGGUAACCACUUCAUGGGUUUCUGAUUUAGCACAUGGAACUGGCCUAGGAGAAUGGGCAGUUGCUACCCAGCUAUUACUAUGUGCUAAGUUGCAGCAAAUAUCUUCAAGGACAAGCCAAAUGGAACUAUGGUAAGACAGAAAAAAAUAGCAAAUUUUAAGGAAUACAUUUAUUAUAUGCUUAUGUAUUUGUUUGUUUAUUCAGACCACAUUUUCCAGCCAGGACUGGCUCCUAAAGCAGCUUACAAUUUAAAUCUGCAAAAAAAGGUACAACAUGUUGGGUGCAAUGUAUUAGAGGGGAGGUGCUUAUAGAAACGUCUUCUGGUCCCUGGGAGUGAUGUAAUAAACCAGGUACCAGACUCUCCACGCCACAGAGGGUAGGCAGAAGGAGCUGCAGAUGAACUCUCAGGUUGACAGAUGUUAGUCCACAGACGCAGCUCCUUCAAUGAAUCUUUUGUGGAUGCUUACACUCCCUGCAGUCAAUGAUGGAGCCCAGAUUCCAGACUCCUCCAUCCAUAGCUUACAUAUAUGGAGAAAAACUGUCUCAGCUACUGUGUUUUCCAGUGCUAUUUAUUUCCAAGAUAGGAUCAAAAAACAUACUACUUGCAGUACCAGGUUUUGAGAUAGCCCUGGCACAGCAGUAGAUUAUUGCACAAUAGAUACAAUAUGAGUAUCAGUCAAUCUGCUGGCUGGCCGGCGGGUAGGCAGGCAUUUCAAGCUCCCACUGAUUUCUCCCGAAGAGUAUUGCUACCUGUUACCAUGACAAUGGCAGAACUGAAGGAACAACCUGCUUAUGGCUGGGUGCGUUAAUGGGAUGAGAGAGCAUGAACUUGUAUGUGUGUUCUUGGAUGCUUUUAUGAGUCAAGCACUGUAGUGAAAUUCAGCUUAAGUAUUUCCAGUUCUACAGCAUGAACUUAUCAUGCUGAAAUCAUUUUGUAUUUGAAGGCUUAUGUGAUAAUAGGUCAGUUCCUCUCCACCCACUCCAGGAAAACAAACAAAAAUGUGCUUAAUUAAUUGCAUUUCCCUGUUAAGAAUGGCAUAAAUCUUAAGCCUAGCAUUGAACUUAUGUGAAAUCUGCCUUCUAAUUAAGUAACAAUUUGACUUCUCCAUCGAAACAUUAUGUCAAAGGCCUCAAUCACAAAUAAACCCUUUUGCUCAGCCAA
This is a long non-coding RNA of Hemicordylus capensis (graceful crag lizard), 6315 nucleotides long. RefSeq lists it as uncharacterized. The transcript is spliced from 2 exons. NCBI's taxonomy places the organism in Eukaryota, Metazoa, Chordata, Lepidosauria, Squamata, Cordylidae. The record is from RefSeq and is a predicted model, not a curated record.